ACUUUAGGUUAGCACCAUCAAUUUCAAGAGGGAAAGGUAGCGUAAUUGCAACAGCAGGAAUGAGGCUGCGAAGAAGGACAGAACCACAUAAAGGUAGACUCGAGGCAGAAGAGGAGAGCUGAGAGCAGCAGCUUGGAAAGAGGAUAUGAGACAUUUCUUGAGAGAGUAGUCUGCUGGGAGUAGCAAAAAGGAGCAAGAGAAAAGGAAGCUGCCCAACACUGAGGCAUUAAACAGUUACAUUGUCUACUUCCAUUCUUGGAAUAAACUGAAAAAACACAGAUAUACCAUGGGAUCAGCAUUGCAAUGACCUUGCAUACUUACCGGAAGGCUUUUAGCCACACGAGUACCGUGCUCAUCCAGGCAGAGCAGUACGCUUGUUAUUUUUAUUGUCACUUCCACAAACCUGCAAGCACUCUGCAAAGAAGUGUGUUAUGGAGUAUUUCUGAGUCCUCCAUUCAGAUGCAACAUUUUACGUUAAAGACCUAAGUCCCCAGAAUACUCAACUUCACAAAACUACUUGUUGAGUUUUAAAGGAUACCUGGUGCUUGCAUCCAGCCUGUGUAGCUCUUUGUCAGCAGAAAGAUUUGCUUCUCACACCAUUUUCAACUCUGAAGUCACAGGCCAAUCUACAUGGACUAGCAGAGACCUAGUGCUGCCUUCAAAAGUCUCAAAUGCACCAGAGCGCAUAGCUUACAGGAACUGAAAGUGCAUCAAAUUCUACAGGAUGUGCUCCACCUGACAUUUUACAACUUCUUUUUUU
RNAcentral lists this long non-coding RNA (760 nucleotides) under Anser brachyrhynchus (Pink-footed goose). RNAcentral's name for it is "lncRNA (ENSABRG00000010968.1)". The record is from RNAcentral. Lineage: Eukaryota; Metazoa; Chordata; Aves; Anseriformes; Anatidae.